RNAcentral lists this ribosomal RNA (582 nucleotides) under uncultured Malassezia. RNAcentral describes it as "eukaryotic LSU rRNA". It matches the Rfam family "Eukaryotic large subunit ribosomal RNA", at positions 66 to 635 of the family's 3401-position model. Lineage: Eukaryota; Fungi; Basidiomycota; Malasseziomycetes; Malasseziales; Malasseziaceae. The record is from RNAcentral.
UAACAAGGAUUCCCCUAGUAACGGCGAGCGAAGCGGGAAGAGCUCAAAUUUGAAAGCUGGCGUCUUCGGCGUCCGCGUUGUAAUCUCGAGACGUGUUUUCCGUGCGGCUCUAUGGACAAGUCCCUUGGAACAGGGCAUCGUAGAGGGUGAAAAUCCCGUACUUGCCAUGGAAGUACCGUGCUUUGUGAUACACGCUCCAAGAGUCGAGUAGUUUGGGAUUGCUGCUCAAAGUGGGUGGUAGACUCCAUCUAAAGCUAAAUAUCGGGGAGAGACCGAUAGCGAACAAGUACCGUGAGGGAAAGAUGAAAAGCACUUUGGAAAGAGAGUUAAAAGUACGUGAAAUUGUCGAAAGGGGAGCACUUGAAGUCAGCCAUGCUGCUUGAGACUCAGCCUGGCUUUUGCUUGGUGUAUUUCUCGGUAGCAAGCCAGCAUUGGUUUGUGUCGUCGGAGAAGCGUAUGGGGAAUGUGGCAUCCUCGGAUGUGUUAUAGCCCUGUGCAGGAUACGACGACGUAGACCAAGGAACGCAGUGUGCCCUCUGGGCGGGUCUUCGGACACCUUCACACUUAGGAUGCUGGCGUAAU